AGAACGAACGCUGGCGGCAGGCUUAACACAUGCAAGUCGAGCGCCCCGAAAGGGGAGCGGCAGACGGGUGAGUAACGCGUGGGAACGUGCCCUUUGGUCUGGAAUAACUCAGGGAAACUUGAGCUAAUACCGGAUAAGCCCCAAUUUUUUAAUUAAUUUUGGGGGAAAGAUUUAUUGCCAUUGGAGCGGCCCGCGUCAGAUUAGCUAGUUGGUGAGGUAAAAGCUCACCAAGGCUGUGAUCUGUAGCUGUUCUGAGAGGAAGAUCAGCCACACUGGGACUGAGACACGGCCCAGACUCCUACGGGAGGCAGCAGUGGGGAAUAUUGGACAAUGGGGGCAACCCUGAUCCAGCCAUGCCGCGUGAGUGAUGAAGGCCUUAGGGUUGUAAAGCUCUUUUAUCCGGGAAGAUAAUGACUGUACCGGAAGAAUAAGCCCGGCUAACUUCGUGCCAGCAGCCGC
RNAcentral lists this ribosomal RNA (459 nucleotides) under uncultured bacterium. RNAcentral describes it as "SSU rRNA". It matches the Rfam family "Bacterial small subunit ribosomal RNA", at positions 26 to 518 of the family's 1533-position model. The record is from RNAcentral.